GGCUCUGUAGCUCAGUUGGUAGAGCGCACGACUGAAAAUUGUGAGGUCACGGGAUCGACGCCCGUCGGAGCCA
Molecule: transfer RNA, 73 nt
Filed under: Rhodoglobus vestalii
Lineage: Bacteria; Bacillati; Actinomycetota; Actinomycetes; Micrococcales; Microbacteriaceae
Also listed under: 11 other names
Rfam family: tRNA
About the family: Transfer RNA (tRNA) molecules are approximately 80 nucleotides in length. Their secondary structure includes four short double-helical elements and three loops (D, anti-codon, and T loops).
Source: Rfam by way of RNAcentral